RNAcentral lists this ribosomal RNA (320 nucleotides) under uncultured eukaryote. RNAcentral describes it as "partial 18S ribosomal RNA". It matches the Rfam family "Eukaryotic small subunit ribosomal RNA", at positions 1470 to 1796 of the family's 1831-position model. The record is from RNAcentral.
CCCCUAGAUGUUCUGGGCCGCGCGCGCGCUACACUGAACAGUUCAACAAGUCUUAACCUUGGCCGAUAGGUCUGGGUAAUCUUUGAACGCUGUUCGUGAUUGGGAUAGACCUUUGCAAUUAUGGGUCUUCAACGAGGAAUUCCUAGUAAACGCAAGUCAUCAGCUUGCAUUGAUUACGUCCCUGCCCUUUGUACACACCGCCCGUCGCACCUACCGAUUGAAUGGUCCGGUGAAAUCUCGGGACGGCGGCUCGGUCGCUUGCGUCCGACUGCUGAAACUUGAUUAAACCAUAUCAUUUAGAGGAAGGUGAAGUCGUAACA